RNAcentral lists this long non-coding RNA (681 nucleotides) under Cricetulus griseus (Chinese hamster). RNAcentral describes it as "lncRNA (ENSCGRG00015034674.1)". The record is from RNAcentral. Lineage: Eukaryota; Metazoa; Chordata; Mammalia; Rodentia; Cricetidae.
AGCAAAUUGUCCCUGUGUUCUGAGACUGAGCACAGGCACUAUUGUUCGGUCUUUCUACCCACACUCAUUGAGUUCACCAGCCUGAUUUGAUGGGAGAAGCCUGCAUUCACAGCCAGUCUGUAGUCGAGCUUGGCUCAGCCCUGUGUCCUGCCAACUCGAAUUCCACUUCAAUUCUUUUUCCUCCCACUGUCUUAUUUGCCAUCAUGUGUUGGACGGCAACAGGAGAGUCAGCCCUCACAGGCACUGUGAAACAGCUGAAGGUUUUAGCCCGUGCGGCAAGUAGCUGUGCCAUGUAGGAGAUGAAAAACCAAGGAUUCCUUCAAAGUUAACAGAGAUCAGCUUUGACCUGUGGAGACCUCCUAAGGAUCUUGGCUAGAGACAUGAAGGAAAAAAAAAAAAAACAAGAAAAACUACAGGACAGAUCCAGAGUUUUGGUGCUCCUAACAAUGGUGGUGCAACAGAGAUACAAAAAAAUGAAGGGAUGGACUCUAAGAAGCUUGGAGAAGAGUUUAUAAGAUGAAAGAAGGGAAACAUGAAGGGAUAACCUUAGAUUUCUGCUUUAAGAAAUCAUUUGAGGCCGGGCGGUGGUGGCGUACACCUUUAAUCCCAGUACUAGGGAAGCAGAGGCAGGUGGAUUUUCGUGAGUUCGAGACCAGCCUUGUCUACAAGAGCUAGUUCCAG